ACUCACCAGGUCAGGACACGGUAAGGAUUGACGGACUGAAGGCUCUUUUCUCGAUUCCGUGGAAAGUGGUGCAUGGCCGUUUUGGUUGGUGGAUCGAUCCGUCUGGUUAAUUCCGUUAACGAACGAGACCUCGGCACUCCGAAUAGCGCGGCGGACGUCGCGGCCUCCGGGCCGUCUUCCGCACGAGCUUCUUAGAGGGACCGUCCCCCGCCGGGGAAGGAGGUGCGAGGCAACGACAGGUCUGUGAUGCCCUUAGAUGUUCUGGGCCGCACGCGCAUUACACUGACGCGUCCAACGGGUGACUCCCGACCCGAAGGGGCCGGGGAAUCCGCAAGGCGCGUCGUGAUGGGGAUUGAACGUUGCAAUUGUUGUUCACGAACGAGGAAUUCCUAGUAGGCGCGGGUCAUCAACCCCGCGCCGAUUACGUCCUGCCCUUUGUACAC
This 443-nucleotide ribosomal RNA is filed under the name uncultured eukaryote. RNAcentral's name for it is "bacterial SSU rRNA". It matches the Rfam family "Eukaryotic small subunit ribosomal RNA", at positions 1213 to 1667 of the family's 1831-position model. The record is from RNAcentral.